Long non-coding RNA from Homo sapiens (human), 2872 nucleotides. RefSeq lists it as uncharacterized. The record is from RefSeq and is a predicted model, not a curated record. NCBI's taxonomy places the organism in Eukaryota, Metazoa, Chordata, Mammalia, Primates, Hominidae. The transcript is spliced from 4 exons.
UUUUUGGAGACAGGGUCUCACCUUGUUGCCCAGGAUGGAGUGCAGUGGCAUGAUCUCAGCUCCCUGCAACCUCUGCCUCCCUGGCUCAAGCCAUCCUCCCACAUCAAGCUACUGAGUAGCUGAGACUACAGCUCGACUCUGAUUUGAAGAGUAGGAUGGUUAAGGACAUCAGAAAGAAUUUCACAGAGAAAAGGGUCGAAACAGAGCAUGCAAAACCACAAAGAGUCUCAGUCUUUUGCCCUCACCCAGGCAGGAGUGCAGUGGUGCAAUCUUGGCUCUCUGCAGCCUCCACCUCCUGGGCUCAAGCGAUCCUCCAAUCUCCACCUCCCGAGUAGCCGGGACUACAGCCAUGCGAAGAUGUACCUGCUUCUGCUUCAUCUUCUGCCCUGAUUGUAAGUUUCCUGAGGCCUCUCCAGAAGCAGAAAUCUGGAAAGUCUGCAGAACUGUGAGCAGAUUAAACCAUUUUUCUUUAUAAAUUACCCAGUCUCAGGUAUGUCUUUAUAGCAAUGUGAGAACUAAUACACUCAGACUGAGAAAAGUUAGUGACUUAUCUAACAAUAUAUAAUACCUCUCAAUUCAGUUUUCUUAUUAUUCUGAGGAAAUGUUUUAAACACAUGUGAGUUUGAAAGUAAAGUAAAUUAUAGUAAAUUUAGGCACAUUAUUAUAAUAAGAAAAAGUACUCAAAAGGUAAUUGCAAUAGUUUAUGAAUAUUAACAUAGUCUAAAAUGUGUACCACACAUUCACUUUCUCUAAACCUAUUAAAUGGAAUCAAGAUUCUGAAAAAAACUGCAAGAAAACAAUUAUUUAUGUCCAGUGUUGUCUUAAAAUGUCAUUGUAAAUUGCAAGAUUAUUUAUUCCUUUUUUUGUUUUUUAUUUCGUGUUUAGUUGACCAGAUGUUAUCCACAGAUAACUUCCCAUAAGAAUUAAAUAUAGAGCCAAAAGUAUUGCAUUAAAAAUAUUGUCAGUGAGAUAGAAAUCCAGGAACUGUAUGUGAGAAACCUUAAUCCUUCUCUUUAUUUCACAAGUUGGGAACAAGUUCCAGUAGUAAGUAGGCAGGUGGUGUAAUGAAUAUUUUACUAUAUAAGAAAAUCCAGAAGUUACUUUCAGCUCUAGGUCUGCCAUGUAAAAGCUUUGGGACUAUGAAUAAAUUAUUUAAUUUUUAAAUCACACUGUCCUCAUCUGCAAAAUAAAAUAUACUAGCCUAAAAUAAAAAUAAUCUAGUCUAAAUGCACUUUAAGAUCCUUUUUAGCUUUAACUUUACUUUUGUAGAAAGCUUCAGAGGGAUUUUGACAUGCAUUAAGGGAUAAUGGGAUAAUUUCACUAAAUGUGUUAGAAUGAGGAAAAUAAAAUUCGUUAUUAGUGCAUCAGGAACAUAAAGAAAUGUUGAAUGGAUUUUCCAUGGGAGACAACAAUGGCUCCAUCCAAGGUUAUAGGAAAAAAAAUAAAGUGAUAGAAUAUAUCUUCGAAAGUAGCUUUUAACAUAUGUGCAGAGAAUUGACACGGCACUAAGAUAUUUAUAUUUUAAUCUAUUAUUCUGGUAAUAUUGCACAAUAUGGGGCUUGAAUCACAUGACAUUCAAAAAUAGGUUUGGUAAAUCAUUUUGAACUUCAUUUUGAACAUGUCUGCAUGGACAUAGGAAAUGGAAUGUUGAGUCUGUUUAAGAGGUUUAAGAGAGAAGAAGAAACAAGUUAGGGAGAGAUUCUAGGGAAAGGGGACGCAGGCAAGAGGGGUAUGUAUUCACAACAUUGUAUUACUCCCUUAUAACAGGGACUCUUGCAGACUGAGAUUACAUUUUGGAAGAGAGAGAGUUGAAAUUAAUGUUGACUUCUGGAAAUCAAGCCUUAUAUUAGGUCACAAAUGUACCAAAGAGGUACAAAUGAAGAAAUAAUAAAUGAAAUAAUUUAUAAGACAGGUUAUAUGUGUGGAGGGAAACUCUCUGCAUGCUGCAUAAGUAGGAGUUCUGGAAAAUGCCAACUCUUUUCUCAUGUGUUACUUUAGACAUCAUUCCUCCAUUAAGCCAUUCUGAACCUAUCUAAGUCUGGAUUUUGUGCCCUCUGAUAGACCGGGACAAAUGUAGCCCAUAAGAACUUGUAUCAGUCACGAUUGUCUUUAUGCUUGCCUUUUCCCCCACUCAGAAGGUGCACAGGCAGGUUUUAUCUUAAGCAUUGUUGGGCAUUGCACUUAGCUCCAUUUUUGCCAUGUAGUAGGCUGACACAAUGAACUAAUGGUCUGUGGUGGCAGAAAUUAAGCUUGUUUGCAAAGAAACACAAUAUAACAAUAACAAUAAAUACAUCAAAAAAUAGAUGUGAAAACAGAAGUGAAGUGGUUAAAAGCUAGGGUUCUGAUGAGGAGGAGUGUUUCUUAUAUAAGAUGAACCUAUUACUGUGUCAUCAAGAAUCAGUAUCUUCAUGAUUUUCAGCCUUAGUUUCCAAAUUUGUAAAACGGAGACAACAACAAUGUCUAUCUCAUAGGGGAUUUUAGAAGUUGAAAUGAAAUAAUACAUGCUCAUGUAUAACCUAUGUAUAUGUAAUACAAGACUAAGUGCUCAAAAAUGUUUACCAUUUUUAUUAACCAUAACUUCUCCUAUAAAUGUCAUUAGAAUACAGAAAAACAAGGAAGGAUUUUCUCACAACAAUUAAGUGUGUUAAAAGUAAUAUAGAUUAUUUUGUAUCAGGAAGAAAUUUCAUCCAGCGUAAACACUUUUCAUUUCAAAAAGUAUGAGAUUAGAAAUUGUAUUCUUUCAAAACUGUAGUCAGACUGUAUAUUUCCAGUGCCUGGCACAUAUCUGUCAAAUAUGCAAAGCCAUUUCGUUUCAUUUUUUUUUUAUUAUUAUGCUUUAACUUCUGGGAUACAUGUACAGAAUGUGCAGGUU